UACGGGGGGGGCAAGCGUUGUUCGGAAUUACUGGGCGUAAAGGGCUCGUAGGUGGCCAACUAAGUCAGACGUGAAAUCCCUCAGCUUAACUGGGGAACUGCGUCUGAUACUGGAUGGCUUGAGUUUGGGAGAGGGAUGCGGAAUUCCAGGUGUAGCGGUGAAAUGCGUAGAUAUCAGGAGGAACACCUGUGGUGUAGACAGCUUACUGGACCACGACUGACGCUGAGACACGAAAGCGUGGGUAGCAAACAGG
RNAcentral lists this ribosomal RNA (253 nucleotides) under uncultured bacterium. RNAcentral's name for it is "partial 16S ribosomal RNA". It matches the Rfam family "Bacterial small subunit ribosomal RNA", at positions 524 to 776 of the family's 1533-position model. The record is from RNAcentral.